UCUGCCUGGAGAAUCCUGAGACCGUUAGUUAGACCUUGUGUAGUAAAAUCAGAAUAAAAUAAUUUAAAUGACUUUCUGCUACGUGGCCCUUUCAGUGGUAAGAGCAGCCAUGGACCUGCGUGGGAGACACGCAGGGAAUGGGCUGCAUUAGGAGAGAGAAUGCUCUCAUCUGAACCUACUUAGGGCUGAGGCUCCCCUCGCCAGCUCACUCCUAUAAAUGCGACUCGGCCUCUCUUCCAAGCUCCCCCAUCCGUUGGCUCCAGAUCUGCAGCUUUUAUUUGACUGGAGAACCUCACCAGGGCUCUGAGCCUCCCCGCUGUGGCUUGGAAGCUACCCUCACCUCCAGCCCCAGGGCAGAUCCUGUGUCCUGGAUGGUCUGUGCCAGUCCGUGGCAUUCUCUUGGCAAGGCUGGUGAACCCCUGAAACAGAGUCUCACCAAGUUGCUGAGUUGCCUAGGCUGGCCUUGAACUUGUGAUCCUUCUGCCUCGGCCUCCCAGAGUACUAGGAUUAAAGAUAAGAUCUUGUUAUUUACCCCAGACCGGUCUCAAACUCCGUCUUCCUGCAUUUCUGCUAUUCAAGAGGCUGAGACAAGAGGAUUACCUGUAUCUUGAGGACAGCCUGGGUUACAUAGUGAGUUCAAGUCUACCUGGACUAGAUGGAGAGACCUGGUCUCAGAAAACAAAUACGCAUCACAGAAGGACUUCUCAGCUCUGCAACUCAGCAGCACUUGAGGUUGUACCCUGGAAUUCCCCAAGUGCAUAGGUGGAAAUACUAAUGUUAGUACUAGCAUGGAUCCUUGCUCUUGUGGUGACCUAAAAUUUAGACUGAAACAUGAAUUUCCAGAAGAAAUUUCAGUGUGAGGAGCCAACAGAGACCCAGCAGCCCUAGCUCCAGAGGAUCUUUAGGGCUGCAAGGGCCAAAGACGUGACCUUUCCACAGGCCUGGAACCUGAGCCUGCUUUCAGUGUAGGUCAGCGUCUAGAGAUGUCUGCCCUUGGUUGAGUAUCCUGGUGCUCUCCCCUUCUUGGUGUCUUCUUGGAGGGGUGAUGAGAUUGUAUAACUUCAGGGUUGAUCAGUCUUGUGUUGUCGAUUUUUAGACACAUCUUAAAGACUUAGCGUACCUGUGUGCAGCGGAAACCAAAGGAAGGUCGAAUUGUGCUCUGAUUUUGGUUACCUAUGAGGCAUCUUCAGGCCAGAGGGAAGAAUCACUGUUUAUGAUGUAUUUAUUUUUAAUAAUGAAAUUAUUAUUAAAAUAAAUAUUCUCCUAAGAAAACACAAAUCAUGCUUUUUCUGAGUAACAG
Molecule: long non-coding RNA, 1300 nt
Organism: Cavia porcellus (domestic guinea pig)
Lineage: Eukaryota; Metazoa; Chordata; Mammalia; Rodentia; Caviidae
Exons: 4
Source: RefSeq, a predicted model, not a curated record